This 400-nucleotide ribosomal RNA is filed under the name uncultured bacterium. Its description in RNAcentral is "bacterial SSU rRNA". It matches the Rfam family "Bacterial small subunit ribosomal RNA", at positions 355 to 747 of the family's 1533-position model. The record is from RNAcentral.
UGGGGAAUUUUGGACAAUGGGCGAAAGCCUGAUCCAGCAAUGCCGCGUGUGUGAAGAAGGCCUUCGGGUUGUAAAGCACUUUUGUUCGGGAAGAAAAGGUUUGUGCUAAUAUCAUAAGCCGAUGACGGUACCGAAAGAAUAAGCACCGGCUAACUACGUGCCAGCAGCCGCGGUAAUACGUAGGGUGCAAGCGUUAAUCGGAAUUACUGGGCGUAAAGCGUGCGCAGGCGGUUGUGUAAGACAGGUGUGAAAUCCCCGGGCUUAACCUGGGAACCGCAUUUGUGACUGCACGACUAGAGUGUGUCAGAGGGGGGUAGAAUUCCACGUGUAGCAGUGAAAUGCGUAGAUAUGUGGAGGAAUACCGAUGGCGAAGGCAGCCCCCUGGGAUAACACUGACGCU